ACAGCCCAAGGGAAGUAGGAGAGCAGCGGGGAGAGUUUCCCAUAGGGAGACGGAGAGCGGAAAAUGGGUUGGGCGAUCGCACUACACGGAGGCGCGGGUGAUAUAUCACUUUCGAUGCCACCUGAACGACGUCUUCCUCGCGAGGCCGCUCUGCGCCACUGCCUCCGGAUCGGUGUUGACGCUCUCCAAACCCAAAAGCAUCCUCUCGAUGUUGUCGAACUCGUGGUCCGUGAAUUAGAAAACCAUCCCAACUUUAAUGCUGGUAAGGGAUCUGUCUUAACCACUGUGGGCACAGUCGAGAUGGAGGCUUGCAUUAUGGACGGGAAAAAAAAUUGUGGAGCUGUUUCUGGGCUCACCACUGUUGUCAAUCCUGUAUCAUUAGCACGAUUGGUCAUGGAAAAGACUCCUCACAUAUAUCUUGCUUUUGAAGGUGCUGAGUAUUUUGCAAGGGAACAGGGUGUUGAGACUGUUAAUUCGAGUCAUUUUGUGACUCCUGAAAAUGUUGAGAGGCUAAAACAGGCAAAAGAAGCUAACAGAGUGCAGAUUGAUUAUACACAACCCAUUCAAAAAGAUGGGAAAACUGAAAAUCCAAUUGCUGAUCGUGAUGGAGAUAGCCAAAUUGGAACUGUCGGAUGUGUGGCUGUUGACGGGAAUGGGAACUUGGCUGCUGCAACUUCUACUGGUGGAUUGGUAAACAAAAUGGUGGGUAGGAUUGGGGACACACCCAUAAUAGGUGCAGGGACAUAUGCCAACAGUCUCUGUGCAGUUUCUGCAACAGGCAAAGGAGAAUCAAUCAUUCGCGGUACUGUAGCUAGGGAUGUGGCUGCUCUUAUGGAGUUCAAAGGUCUUUCUCUCCGGGAAGCAGCAGCUUAUGUCGUUGAGGAGUGUGUUCCAAAAGGCAAGGUUGGGUUGGUAGCUGUGUCUGCUAGUGGAGAAGUUACCAUGCCCUUUAAUACAACUGGCAUGUUUCGUGCUUGUGCUACCGAAGAUGGGUAUUCUGAAAUUGCAAUAUGGCCUUCUGUGCAAGAAUGAGUAGUAUUAACAUUUGCUCAAGUCUUUUAAAAUUCUGGAAUUUGCUUAAAAAUGUGUAAUGAAUAAUGUUGAGUGCUUUCAGACUACUCGCUCCUGUAAUGCUUGAAAAUAAGAGCUUAAUUGUUCACGUGUUUUUAUGAUAUCUGCUGAAAUCUACAUUAAUAUCAUCGCAUUAAAAAUUAGUUUCAUGAUCUAUCCACUAGAGGAAAUGUAAAAUUGCUGGUUAUUCAUAGUUUGAGAGUACCCA
RNAcentral lists this unclassified non-coding RNA (1279 nucleotides) under Hevea brasiliensis (rubber tree). The record is from RNAcentral. Lineage: Eukaryota; Viridiplantae; Streptophyta; Magnoliopsida; Malpighiales; Euphorbiaceae.